Molecule: ribosomal RNA, 453 nt
Filed under: Streptococcus sp. oral taxon C65
Lineage: Bacteria; Bacillati; Bacillota; Bacilli; Lactobacillales; Streptococcaceae
Description: bacterial SSU rRNA
Rfam family: Bacterial small subunit ribosomal RNA
Source: RNAcentral
GACGAACGCUGGCGGCGUGCCUAAUACAUGCAAGUAGAACGCUGAAGAGAGGAGCUUGCUCUUCUUGAAUGAGUUGCGAACGGGUGAGUAACGCGUAGGUAACCUGCCUUGUAGCGGGGGAUAACUAUUGGAAACGAUAGCUAAUACCGCAUAACAAUGGGUGACACAUGUCAUUUAUUUGAAAGGGGCAAUUGCUCCACUACAAGAUGGACCUGCGUUGUAUUAGCUAGUAGGUGAGGUAACGGCUCACCUAGGCGACGAUACAUAGCCGACCUGAGAGGGUGAUCGGCCACACUGGGACUGAGACACGGCCCAGACUCCUACGGGAGGCAGCAGUAGGGAAUCUUCGGCAAUGGGGGCAACCCUGACCGAGCAACGCCGCGUGAGUGAAGAAGGUUUUCGGAUCGUAAAGCUCUGUUGUAAGUCAAGAACGAGUGGAGAGGGAAAGUUCAC